This 200-nucleotide ribosomal RNA is filed under the name uncultured bacterium. Its description in RNAcentral is "partial 16S ribosomal RNA". It matches the Rfam family "Bacterial small subunit ribosomal RNA", at positions 8 to 220 of the family's 1533-position model. The record is from RNAcentral.
AGAGUUUGAUCAUGGCUCAGGAUAAACGCUGGCGGCGUGCCUAACACAUGCAAGUCGAACGCCCUUUCGAAAGGAAGGGAGUGGCGGACGGGUGAGUAACACGUGGGUCAUCUACCUUCAGGUGAGGGAUACCGGGGAGAAAUCGUCGACAAGCCCGCAUAGCUUUCUUGGUGGACAAGAAAGAAAGUCGAGAGGCGCCU